AUAAAAUGUAACUAAUAAAAAAAAAAAAGAAAACGUUUUCUAAUUAAAAUAUUAAUUUGUUUUAUUAUUGUUUUUUUUAUCACCUAAAAAUUGUUAGCGUGUUAGAAAAAAAUGAAUUGUUAUUGUGUUUCAGAUGCACAAUUUAUUUAUUUUUAAAAUGUAAAAACAAUAUAUAACAAUGUUUAAUUUCUGCUGGUACCUUAGAACAAAUUGUUAUAAAAGAAAUAUAUCGCACAUAAUUAAUAAAAGACGGUUUCAUCAAUUUAUUAGUAAACGAGGACUACAAACCGUGGCUAUUAAAAGAAAAGAUAGAAUAAAACGAGAAAGAAAAUUAAAUCUAAGAGAAAAAAUAAAACUUAUUAUUUUUAGCUCUAUUUACUUUUUUGCUUGUGAUUAUAUUUACCACGUAUACAUCUUACAUAAUAAAACAACGGAAAAUGAUAAAAGUGAGAAUGAAAAGAAAAACACAACCUCUCUGUUAAAUUACAUAAAAAGUAUUAUUAUACCUACAAAUAUCCAAUCAAAAAAAAAUGAUGUAAAUAUCAAUAGUACACAACAACAAAAAGAGAAGGAGGGGGAAACAAAAAAUAUAUUUAACGAAAGUGUUGUUAAAAAUAAUUACCGGAAAGAAAAUAAAAGCGACAAUAAUAGACAGUGCGAAAAAAAUGAAAUAAAAAAUUGUAAAACAAAAGAACAAGAUCCUUACGAAAUAAAAAUAAAUCGAAUAACAAAGAAAAAAGAGUUUGAAAAUAGAGGUACGAAGUUUUCAGAAAAAGAUACUAGUCAGAAUAAUCAACUUUUUGGCUAUGAUAUUAACAAAAAAAAUGGAAAUAAAAAAAAUGAAAAUAACGAAGAAAAAAGUUUAAAAACUGUAAUCACAGAUAGUAUUUACAAUAAUCAUUUAUUCAAUUACUGUAAUUUAUUUAUGUAUGCAAAUGGAAUUGUAUUUUUAUGUUGGAGACUUAGUGAUUUAGCUAGAAAUAAAAAAUUUUAUCAUUUUAUGUGCAGACAUUUUAUUUGUUCAUAUGAAAAUAUUAAGAAAAAAUAUUUUCACACAAUUUUGACAGCAGGUAUAAGUCAUAUGACUUUUCCUCAUUUUUUAUUUAAUAUGUGGGCAUUUCAUACUAUAUCUAAUGCAUUAUUAUGUCCAGAAAUUAAACAAGAAAAAACAAAUAAUUAUUAUAACUUUUUUUUUACUUCGAAAUCUAGUAUUGUUGAAAAAAAAAUUAAUGAACUAAGUAUAAUUAAUAUUUGUCUUUUAUCAAGUGCUAUUUCAACAAUUCCUUAUGUUCUUAUUCAUAAAAGAAAUAAAAUCUUAGGUGCUUCUGGGUCAAUUAUGGGACUGGUUUUUAUUUUAUCAACACUUAAACCGAAUGAAACAUUUAUUUCUAUAUUCCCAUUACCUUAUUUAAAAUUAACAGCAUUACAAUUAUGCCAUAUAUCAAUAUUAACUAAUGUACUAUUUCUUUUUUUUAAAAAAAAUCAUUUCAGUGUAGCAUGGUUAGCGCAUUUAUUUGGUUUAGCAGGUGGAGCUAUUUAUAAUGUAUACCAAAGAAAAAAAAACAAUAAUUUUAAUUAUUACCCUUUUAUUCAAUUAUCAGUUAAAAAUGGAUAUAUUGAUUAUCUUAAUUCUUAUUAUGAUUUUUUAGACACUUUAACAUAUUUAAAAUUAAGAACGAAAUUAUUCUUUUCGUUAGAUAUCAAGGACAUGCAAAAAAUUAGUAGUCAAAUACAAAAUACAAAGUUUUUACAAUCUAGAAGACGUUUAAGGCUUCAAUCACUAAAGGUUAAAAAUUUGGAAGCAAUGUCAAAAUGAGUACAUAUAUAUAUAUAUAUAUAUAUAUAUAUAUGUAUACAUAUUUUUAUGUAUACACAAUUGUGUAUAAAAUUUAUAUGUUAUGAUUCAAUGAUAGAUGUUCCAAACUGAAGAACAUUUCACCUGAUUAUAUAUUAAUACUGUUUUAUUUUAUUUUAUUAAUAAAUCAUAAAAAAUAAACA
Piliocolobus tephrosceles (Ugandan red Colobus) is the source of this 1998-nucleotide long non-coding RNA. The record is from Ensembl. Lineage: Eukaryota; Metazoa; Chordata; Mammalia; Primates; Cercopithecidae.